ACAUCACAACAAGUCUAUACA
Molecule: microRNA, 21 nt
Filed under: Monodelphis domestica (gray short-tailed opossum)
Lineage: Eukaryota; Metazoa; Chordata; Mammalia; Didelphimorphia; Didelphidae
Description: mdo-miR-499-3p
Gene: mdo-miR-499-3p
Source: miRBase by way of RNAcentral